This is a long non-coding RNA of Octopus sinensis (East Asian common octopus), 682 nucleotides long. RefSeq lists it as uncharacterized. The transcript has 3 exons. The record is from RefSeq and is a predicted model, not a curated record. NCBI's taxonomy places the organism in Eukaryota, Metazoa, Mollusca, Cephalopoda, Octopoda, Octopodidae.
AAAAGACCAAAACGAACGCGCAAUGAAAAGAGUUGUUUCCCUUGUAUUGUUUGCCACAAUAUUAGUUUUAAAAUCUGCAGUUUUGUGAUACCAACGGAAGAUAAUUUUACUGAAUUGAACAACAGUAAAAUUGUUCCGAUUUUUAGGUAUCCCGGUCCUUCCCUACGUGGUUUUUGGAAGAACAUUAGUAACCGAGGGAAAAAGAAACCAAAAAACAAGAAAAACAGCAGUGCCUAUGCAUAAUUUUAGGUUCAAUAACACCCAGAAAGUUCGCUACACCUUGAGGUACCUGGAUCGGUUGAACGGAAGAAUUAUGAUCUUCCGCUAGCACUGAAGAUCUCUAAAAUGUUCAAGAUAUAUAGAAAGAAGCCAUCUAAUGAAACUGAAGACAAUAGUGCGAAAGAAACCGUAAGAAGAUUAUGCUGAAUAUUAAACUUGAUGGUUUAAAAAGCGUUGAUGGAAAAAAAGACGAGCCACAUUGCCAGACAAAAGAUUAGCCACAUUGCUAGACAAGAAGUUAGCAACAUUGUCAUGUGUGCAGUGCAAACAAGCAUUGCAAAAGAGAGAAAAUUAAGACAAGUGUUCAAGAAGCAAUUCUGUAGUUCAGAUUUUACAUUUUCAUAGAUCCAAUGUGAUGAUUAAAAUGGAACGACUCUGGAGUGUAUCGAUCGCGAAUCUGACU